This 164-nucleotide ribosomal RNA is filed under the name Ranunculus japonicus. RNAcentral's name for it is "5.8S ribosomal RNA". It matches the Rfam family "5.8S ribosomal RNA". Rfam says of the family: 5.8S ribosomal RNA (5.8S rRNA) is a component of the large subunit of the eukaryotic ribosome. It is transcribed by RNA polymerase I as part of the 45S precursor that also contains 18S and 28S rRNA. The record is from RNAcentral. Lineage: Eukaryota; Viridiplantae; Streptophyta; Magnoliopsida; Ranunculales; Ranunculaceae.
AAACGACUCUCGGCAACGGAUAUCUCGGCUCUUGCAUCGAUGAAGAACGUAGCGAAAUGCGAUACUUGGUGUGAAUUGCAGAAUCCCGUGAACCAUCGAGUUUUUGAACGCAAGUUGCGCCCGAAACCUUUAGGUUGAGGGCACGUCCUGCCUGGGCGUCACAC